This 158-nucleotide non-coding RNA is filed under the name Candidatus Omnitrophota bacterium. RNAcentral's name for it is "Candidatus Omnitrophica bacterium 6S RNA". It matches the Rfam family "6S / SsrS RNA". From Rfam's summary of the family: E. coli 6S RNA was the first non coding RNA to be sequenced, but its function was unknown until recently. The record is from RNAcentral. Lineage: Bacteria; Pseudomonadati; Candidatus Omnitrophota.
AUAAUUCUGGCGAGUGCGUACAAUGGGAACGAAAAUUUUGGCCAAUAAUUAUUAUUCGGGAACCUAACUUCGGUUUUUCUUCGGAACUAUCGAGAGGGUACCCACCUGGGAGACCAGGCCGGAAAUUUUCUUUCCGUUUACGGCUCAACGGAUAUAGG